UACGGAGAGUGCAAACGUUGUUCGGAUUCACUGGGCGUAAAGGGCACGUAGGCGGCUCGGCAAAUCGGUCGUGGAAUCCAGACGCUUACCGUCUGAACGGCGGCCGAAAAUACCGGGCUCGAGGGCGUGAGGGGUCACUGGAACUCCUGGUGAAGCGGUGAAAUGCGUAGAUAUCAGGAGGAACGCCGGAGGCGAAAGCGAGUGACUGGCGCGUUCCUGACGCUGAGGUGCGAAAGCUAGGGGAGCAAACAGG
Molecule: ribosomal RNA, 253 nt
Filed under: uncultured bacterium
Lineage: Bacteria
Description: partial 16S ribosomal RNA
Rfam family: Bacterial small subunit ribosomal RNA
Source: RNAcentral